Long non-coding RNA from Sphaeramia orbicularis (orbiculate cardinalfish), 160 nucleotides. RefSeq lists it as uncharacterized. NCBI's taxonomy places the organism in Eukaryota, Metazoa, Chordata, Actinopteri, Kurtiformes, Apogonidae. The record is from RefSeq and is a predicted model, not a curated record. The transcript is spliced from 4 exons.
CAAAAAUGAACCUCCACCAUAUCUGCAUUUGAAUAAAUACCUAAAAAUAUCGAUACAGUACUUUUUAAUAUCGAUACAGUAUUGUGAAAUGAAAUAUUGCGAUAUAUUGCAGCACCGAUAUCUUCUAACACCCUUAGUGAUUACUAGUAUUUACCUCAGU